RNAcentral lists this ribosomal RNA (468 nucleotides) under uncultured bacterium. RNAcentral's name for it is "partial 16S ribosomal RNA". It matches the Rfam family "Bacterial small subunit ribosomal RNA", at positions 28 to 507 of the family's 1533-position model. The record is from RNAcentral.
GAUGAACGCUGGCGGCGUGCUUAACACAUGCAAGUCGAACGGAAAGGCCCUGCUUUUGUUGGGUGCUCGAGUGGCGAACGGGUGAGUAACACGUGAGUAACCUGCCCUUCACUUUGGGAUAACUUCAGGAAACUGGGGCUAAUACCGGAUAGGAGCUCCUGCUGCAUGGUGGGGGUGGGAAAGUUUCGGCGGUUGGGGAUGGUCUCGCGGCUUGUCAGCUUGUUGGGGGGGUUGGCGCUUAACAAGGUUGUGACGGAUACCCGGCCUGAGAGGGUGACCGGCCACAUUGAGACUGAGAUACGGCCCAGACUCCUACGGGAGGCAGGAGGGGGGAAUAUUGCACAAUGGGCGGAAGCCAGGUGCAGAAGCGCCGCGUGCGGGAUGAGGGCCUGCGGGUUAAAAACCUCUUUCGCCGGUGACGGAGCGUUAGUGACGGUAAUGGGUAAAGAAGCACCGGCUAACUACGUG